AUACGAUCUAGACCAUAUAUAAAUUUGAUCAGGACAAGGAUUCUUAUAAAGGGAAUUCUCUGAAGUUAGGCUUUUAGGACAGUAGUAACCGUGGCUCGGAGCAGAUCUUUCUUAUCUAAAAGGCAACGUUGCGGCUUGAUUGAUAAGCAUGGCUCUGCUGCUUAUUCUGUUACAAAUAACACUGGUGUGGCAACAAAUUGUGUAUUCGGGAGAACAGAAAAAAGGAAAUGAUGCAGUAAAUCCGCAGUCUGGCGUUCAAAUCUCGGAAUUUGGAAAAAGAAAAACUUUUUCCGAUGCAGAAAUUCCACCGUCCAUCUCUAGGAUGAAUUCCUGGAAAGGAAAACGAGGAAAAAUGUCUGGUGCAGACAUUCCACCGUCCAUCUUUAGGACGAAUUCCUGGAAAGGAAAACGAGAAACUAUGUCUGGUGCAGACACUCCACUGGCCAUCACUAGGUUGAAUUCCUGGGAAGGAAAACGAGCAGACAUUCCACCGUCCAUAUUCAAAAAACCAGGGCUUGGGAAAAGAGACCCAGCUGUAACUGAUUAAGCUGCUCUGUCUCUAGUUUAAGAGCGUUUGGAGGUUAUAAUUUCCCUUUCAGCAUACCAGAAGAUUAUUUAGACUAAGAUGGACCCUAACAGUCACCAGACACAGAUAGAAACUUUAGAACGCUUCGGUUAGACUUAAAACUCCCUUAGCAAACUAAUGUGUUAUGUCUUCGUAGAGAUGCCAGAUAAAAAGUUUGAAAUGCGA
Molecule: long non-coding RNA, 751 nt
Organism: Pocillopora damicornis (cauliflower coral)
Lineage: Eukaryota; Metazoa; Cnidaria; Anthozoa; Scleractinia; Pocilloporidae
Source: RefSeq, a predicted model, not a curated record